AGGACGGGGACAACAGUUGGAAACGACUGCUAAUACCCGAUGUGCCGCGAGGUGAAACCUAAUUGGCCUGAAGAAGAGCUUGCGUCUGAUUAGCUAGUUGGUGGGGUAAAGGCCUACCAAGGCGACGAUCAGUAGCUGGUCUGAGAGGAUGAGCAGCCACACUGGGACUGAGACACGGCCCAGACUCCUACGGGAGGCAGCAGUGGGGAAUUUUCCGCAAUGGGCGAAAGCCUGACGGAGCAACGCCGCGUGAGGGAGGAAGGUCUUUGGAUUGUAAACCUCUUUUCUCAAGGAAGAAGUUCUGACGGUACUUGAGGAAUCAGCCUCGGCUAACUCCGUGCCAGCAGCCGCGGUAAUACGGGGGAGGCAAGCGUUAUCCGGAAUUAUUGGGCGUAAAGCGUCCGCAGGUGGUCAGCCAAGUCUGCCGUCAAAUCAGGUUGCUUAACGACCUAAAGGCGGUGGAAACUGGCAGACUAGAGAUCAGUAGGGGUAGCAGGAAUUCCCAGUGUAGCGGUGAAAUGCGUAGAGAUUGGGAAGAACAUCGGUGGCGAAAGCGUGCUACUGGGCUGUAUCUGACACUCAGGGACGAAAGCUAGGGGAGCGAAAGGGAUUAGAUACCCCUGUAGUCCUAGCCGUAAACGAUGGAUACUANGCGUGGCUUGUAUCGACCCGAGCCGUGCCGAAGCUAACGCGUUAAGUAUCCCGCCUGGGGAGUACGCACGCAGUGUGAAACUCAAAGGAAUUGACGGGGGCCCGCACAAGCGGUGNAGUAUGUGGNUUANNUUCNAUGCNACGCGAANAA
This 802-nucleotide ribosomal RNA is filed under the name uncultured bacterium. RNAcentral describes it as "bacterial SSU rRNA". It matches the Rfam family "Bacterial small subunit ribosomal RNA", at positions 134 to 968 of the family's 1533-position model. The record is from RNAcentral.